RNAcentral lists this long non-coding RNA (633 nucleotides) under Callithrix jacchus (white-tufted-ear marmoset). RNAcentral describes it as "lncRNA (ENSCJAG00000075007.1)". Lineage: Eukaryota; Metazoa; Chordata; Mammalia; Primates; Cebidae. The record is from RNAcentral.
UAUGUGCAGUGUGUUUUGACCUAAAUGUUAUGUAGUAAUUUAUUUCUUUUCAUAGCCACUGUAUAAGAUAGUUACUAUUUCCUCUGUUUCACAGACAAGAUUCAGUGAAGGUCAGAGAGAUCACACAAGUUGCCCGGAGUCACACAACUAGUAAACAUGGAAGUGAGCUAGCCAGGCUGGUAACAGCCACGUGGUCCUCCUACAAUAAAUUGUGGGCAUUUCACAGGAGGAUUUUCCCUAUGGAAAAAAAAGUAAAAGAUAAUAGGAAAAUCACUCCUUUGCGACUUUGGGAUGAAACAAACAACGGAGUUGUUCUCUGGUGGGAAGGUUAGCAGGCUGUCAUUGAUGCAACUCCACAGAGGGAAAGAAGGGAUGAAUCCUAGAGAUCACCUCAUCAACUUAGAUUUUGAAAAUGUGGAAACUGAGUCUGAGGAGAUUAAUCAAUUCCAUCAAAGUCAAACGCAGAGGUGUGUUGGAGCUGACACCUAUCAAUUCAUGAGAGCCAACUGUGGGCAUCUGCUCCUGACAGCAUUUUCAGUGUCGUCAAAUUGUUACCUUGAAAUUGGCUGUCGUGGAAGUAUUUACAGGAUGGAAAUUGGCAAAAUGCUAUCAUAUUUUCUUUUUCUUUCCUGA